This 547-nucleotide long non-coding RNA is filed under the name Lathyrus oleraceus (garden pea). RNAcentral describes it as "Pisum sativum (pea) long non-coding RNA (PSAT_LNC038543)". The record is from RNAcentral. Lineage: Eukaryota; Viridiplantae; Streptophyta; Magnoliopsida; Fabales; Fabaceae.
AACAAGUUGGGAAACCAAUAGAACGCUUCGCGUUUUCUUAUCUUCUUCCCUCCCUAGGAGUAGCACAAAAAGAGGGAUUAACAUUAUUGACCCAAUGAUAAACCACUAACACCCUCCUCGUUGGGUCUCCGCGCACUGGGAAAAGGCUCUAGCGAUGGGAAAGCGGCCACUACUAACAAAGCUCCAAUAAGGUAUCGAUCGAGCGAGAACGCGUUUUCUUAUCUUCUUCCCGCCCUAGGAGUAGCACAAAAAGAGGGAUUAGCAUUAUUGACCCAAUGAUAAACCACUAACACCCUCCUCGUUGGGUCUCCGCGCACUGGGAAAAGGCUCUAGCGAAUGGAAAGCGGCCACUACUAACAAAGCUCCAAUAAGGUAUCGAUCGAGCGAGAGGGCUAUCACAGUCAGGUGCGAAGCAAUUACCCCCUUUUUGUAAAGUACCCCUCUUCCUAUUUAGUUUAGAGGGUUGAGGCGAGAAAUGGCUUGAUGAACCGUUCCGUUCGCCAUGCACCGACCCCAUUCACUUGCUUAUCGUAGAGGCUGUAAGUAC